This is a long non-coding RNA of Drosophila miranda, 985 nucleotides long. RefSeq lists it as uncharacterized. Lineage: Eukaryota; Metazoa; Arthropoda; Insecta; Diptera; Drosophilidae. The record is from RefSeq and is a predicted model, not a curated record. The transcript is spliced from 3 exons.
UGUAUGUGAUCAUUUACUCUGAAGCAAACAAAUAAACAAACAUGCAUAAAUAACUCGUUGCAGUUGCAACAAAAGCAACAACUGCCUCCAGCAAAGCAACUCACACACGCACACACACACAGAGAGAGGGCAGACAACCGAUAGAGAGAGAGAAAAAGAGAGGGUGAGCAGCGACUGCGCAGCUGGCAGCGACUCUGGAAUGCGGUUUUGACAAGUUCUUCUAAAAUUGUACGGCAACUUUUGCUAUUUACGCUAUGAAACAACGACAACAACCGAGCAGGCGGCAUCGGCAGCGGCAGCGCGACGAGAGCAGCAGGCGAAUGUGUGCGAAGGAGCACGGAAAGCAGAACAUGAAAAAAAAGAAAAAAUACCAACAACAGCAAUAGCAGCGCACAAGAUGGUUGGACGAUUAGAGAGGAGCACGGGCAACGGGCCACGGGCUUUUUUAGACACGAAGGCACGAAAUAUAUAGAGUUUUGUUUGCGGUCUUGGUUUGCCCAUCUUUGGCACGAGAGAGAGCAACAGUGAGUGAGAGAGCGGCAGCAGCAAACUAUGCAGCAAUGUCGUCGCCAUCGUCGGGCUAGUUGAACGAACGCCAAGACACUGCGGCCGAGGGGGCGUUAGGCAUGCCGAACGAGAUGCCUCUCGCAGCUGCAGACUCUUUGGCGCGACUUUUAAACGCGCAAAUGCGAAGAAGGUGGAAAGCACGGAAUAGCCGAGGAUUUACUGUUAUUCGAAGCCACUGUAGGCAGACGCACAAGGCACUUUUCUCAUACAACAGUAGCAUAAGCAAACGAGUAUGGUUCCAAUUGCUCAAUUUCUUUAUUCCGUCAAAUAUUACCAGCUAUAUAGAAUAUUUAGCCAUGCCCACAUAAUUUUACCCAAUUAAUGAAUCAAUUUUCUACUUAACUGACUAAUGUUUAAUACUUUCUUUUAUUGGAUUUUGCUUAAAAAAAGGUUUUAGCAAAAAAGGUCAAACAAAUGA